AGAGUAAAUGGGAUAUGGGGGUGCUCUGCGAGAUGUAAGUGUAGCAGGGCAGCCAAGCCCAUAUCCCCGCACGCAGGGUAGUUCACUGAUGACCUUUUGGUGUAUGGCCAGCGACACCCAUAUAUAUAACCCCUUUAAGAGGGGGACCCUGGAAUCGCCGCCGCCAAGGGGUGAGUCACCACUUCACGCCCUGCCCCCCACCAUAUAGGGAAGAAAAGACUAAAGGAUUCCACCCAAGGCCAUAACUGCCACCUGAGACCACGAAUUUGCAGUCUUGCUGCCAAGACCACCUACAUCCGGAAAACCAUUCACCUUACCUCCAACCACUCCAUCAGGCCAUGCCUGAUGUUGCACAACAAGAGCUCACUCACAGGGCACUCCUGUGAACUGCACGGUGAAUCCUCCAUUCUGUUGCUACCCCCGAUGGCGGCCUCAUUUCCUGAGUCUCAGACUGAACAAGCAUUUAAUGUGUGAAGUAGAAGUUGGAAUCUAGCAUGAGGAGGAGUGCGAGGGAGACCUUGCCGAGGCAAUGCCAGCCCUGGAAGCUCCCCUUUCGGCUCUCCAUACCCUGAAGCUGGCAAAUACCUCCUUUGUCAAAUCCCUACAGGAUCCACCAGGACCUGUCAAGCUGGUCAUGGAGAGUGUGAAAGAAAAGCCAGAAAGAAAGCCUGAAUCAAGUGGAAAGGGGGGAUGUUUUUCAGCCAACUGGGAUUGGGAACAGCCAGCCUUUAUCGGCUGGGGGCAGACCGGGGUGAAGCCCCAUCUACUUAGCCUGGCUGUAUUGGCCACCAAAUGGAUGGUGGAAAAGCCUGCCAAUCCAAGUGGCCGACAUAGGAAUUCCCCAGCCGACGGCCAUCUUGUCACAGCGUUGCUUCCUGGGGAUCAGAGCCUGCCACGAUAGGCCACAACAGCUGCCCAGCCCGUGUCUGGGUAAGCUGCCAUUCUCUCUGACCACCUCCUUGUUAGUAUUUUGUGGGAGGGAUUGCAGUGUACACUGGAGAUUUAGGUUGGCGCAGUUAAAGUGGAUUAAAGUGCUCUGUCAUCCAGCUUGCUCCUUAAAGUCCAGAUAUAAUCUAACUUCUGCAUAAGCUUUGUGCAAGCAAAUCAAGAUGCAUGCCCAAUAAGUGGCUUGUCGGGUGGAGCUCACUGAUCCAGUUGUUGACGAUGCCUUCUGUCUAAGAGCAAUCUUCAUCUGCUCUUCUUUUUUAAAUAGAUGACCAUGUCCACUCUGUGGCUCCUUGGUCUUUUCCUAUUCGCUGUGGUGCGGACCAUGGUUGGCCCCACCAACUCUUGAUUCCAGGUGUAGGUUGGAUUUGGCUUAGGCAUUGGAGGGCUGGCGCAUGAUAGAGUCUGUAUAACAAUAGCAGCAACUCCCCAUCCCACACACCACUUUCAAAUUACACUGCAAAAGUAAAGAAAAAGUAAAGCAAACUGUAGGGAAGGCCAGGAAUGGAUUUUCUGUGAAAACAAAUUCCUAGGUGGAAAAACUGCAGUCAGAGGCAGGGAUGGAAGGCUCUGUCAGUUUCAGUUCUCUUUCAGUUAGUCUAAGGCUAUCAGAGAAUUCCUAUGACUUUCCAGUUUUGUUGAAUAUGAACUCUCAUCAUUCUAUUAUAAUUAUUUUUUAAAAAAUAUAUAUUUUAUUCAGAUUGUUGCAUUUAUGACCUUUUUAUUGACAUGCAAUAUUUUAUGAAUUGUUGCAUACAACCCUAGUAAAAGAGAAUUACAUG
Long non-coding RNA from Podarcis muralis (Common wall lizard), 1727 nucleotides. RefSeq lists it as uncharacterized. The record is from RefSeq and is a predicted model, not a curated record. Lineage: Eukaryota; Metazoa; Chordata; Lepidosauria; Squamata; Lacertidae.